Molecule: ribosomal RNA, 504 nt
Filed under: uncultured bacterium
Lineage: Bacteria
Description: partial 16S ribosomal RNA
Rfam family: Bacterial small subunit ribosomal RNA
Source: RNAcentral
AUUGAACGCUGGCGGCAGGCCUAACACAUGCAAGUCGGACGGUAGCACAGAGAGCUUGCUCUCGGGUGACGAGUGGCGGACGGGUGAGUAAUGUCUGGGAAACUGCCCGAUGGAGGGGGAUAACUACUGGAAACGGUAGCUAAUACCGCAUAACGUCUUCGGACCAAAGUGGGGGACCUUCGGGCCUCACACCAUCGGAUGUGCCCAGAUGGGAUUAGCUAGGAGGUGGGGUAAUGGCUCACCUAGGCGACGAUCCCUAGCUGGUCUGAGAGGAUGACCAGCCACACUGGAACUGAGACACGGUCCAGACUCCUACGGUAGGCAGCAGUGGGGAAUAUUGCACAAUGGGCGCAAGCCUGAUGCAGCCAUGCCGCGUGUAUGAAGAAGGCCUUCGGGUUGUAAAGUACUUUCAGCGGGGAGGAAGGCGAUGGAGUUAAUAGCUUCAUCGAUUGACGUUACCCGCAGAAGAAGCACCGGCUAACUCCGUGCCAGCAGCCGCAGUAA